Molecule: unclassified non-coding RNA, 347 nt
Filed under: soil metagenome
Description: partial contains 5.8S ribosomal RNA, internal transcribed spacer 2, and large subunit ribosomal RNA
Rfam family: 5.8S ribosomal RNA (bases 1-120)
Source: RNAcentral
GAUGAAGAACGCAGCGAAAUGCGAUAAGUAAUGUGAAUUGCAGAAUUCAGUGAAUCAUCGAAUCUUUGAACGCACAUUGCGCCCGCCAGUAUUCUGGCGGGCAUGCCUGUCUGAGCGUCAUUUCAACCCUCAUGCCCCUAGGGCGUGGUGUUGGGGAUCGGCCAAAGCCCCGAGGGACGGCCGGCCCCUAAAUCUAGUGGCGGACCCGUCGUGGCCUCCUCUGCGAAGUAGUGAUAUUCCGCAUCGGAGAGCGACGAGCCCCUGCCGUUAAACCCCCAACUUUCCAAGGUUGACCUCAGAUCAGGUAGGAAUACCCGCUGAACUUAAGCAUAUCAAUAAGCGGAGGA